ACGAGUGCGUGUGCCAGCCGCCGCGGUAAUACGGAGGGUGCGAGCGUUGUCCGGAUUUAUUGGGUUUAAAGGGUGCGUAGGUGGCUGUUUAAGUCAGUGGUGAAAUACGGUUGCUCAACAAUCGAGGUGCCAUUGAUACUGAAUAGCUUGAAAUAAUUGGAGGCUGCCGGAAUGGAUGGUGUAGCGGUGAAAUGCAUAGAUAUCAUCCAGAACACCGAUUGCGAAGGCAGGUGGCUACGAUUGGUUUGACACUGAGGCACGAAAGCAUGGGGAGCAAACAGGAUUAGAUACCCUGGUAGUCCAUGCUGUAAACGAUGAGGACUCGCUGUUUGAUGGCAACAUUGAGCGGCUUAGGGAAACCUUAAGUCCCUCCACCUGGGGAGUACGCCGGCAACGGUGAAACUUAAAUGAAUUGGCGGG
This 420-nucleotide ribosomal RNA is filed under the name uncultured bacterium. RNAcentral describes it as "bacterial SSU rRNA". It matches the Rfam family "Bacterial small subunit ribosomal RNA", at positions 497 to 917 of the family's 1533-position model. The record is from RNAcentral.